Long non-coding RNA from Crotalus tigris (Tiger rattlesnake), 810 nucleotides. RefSeq lists it as uncharacterized. The record is from RefSeq and is a predicted model, not a curated record. The transcript has 2 exons. Lineage: Eukaryota; Metazoa; Chordata; Lepidosauria; Squamata; Viperidae.
ACCCGUCUUGCCCGCACUCCGCGCCUCGUAUGGGGUGGAAAAGGCGAGGAGAGCGGACUGCUGGGGGGGGAGCUUUGGGGGACGCCGGCUUGCAAAAGCCUCCCUGGCUCGGUCGGAUCGCCGAGCCUAGCCAGCCGGAAUGCGCCACACAUCGGAGACAAAGUUGCAGAAAACGGCUUUCUCCAACUUUUCCAGGCCUUACAGAUAGGCCUUGUGGGGAUCCAGUAGCCUUGCAGCAUGGAGAAGCGUGGAACUCUAAGGAAUGAAGAAUGCACCAAGAAUUGCCAAAAAAAAAAAAAAAAAAAAGACAGAAAAGGGAAACUACUGACUUUCCAAAUCUCAGCUAAACCUGAAUAUAUGACUGGUCACAGUGACUUGUUCCUCUAGCCAUUCAAGAUGCCUCAUCUUUUUUUAAUCGCCAUUGCCUAAAUCUUGCUGUAUUGGGUACUGUUUACGUACAGUGGAGUAAAAUGAAUCUUUUAGCAAUUGUUGACUGCAGUUAUUGACAGGUUGGUAUAUGAUUCUUUUCGAAAAGAAAAAAAAAAACUCCUAAAAGCAAAAUCUUAAUUGGUUGUUGGAAAUAACUAUUUUAUGUGGAUAUAAAGUAGGACUGAAAUUGAAAAGACUUUCUUCUAAGGAAGAUAUUAAGGCUGGAGAUGGAAGCUAAGGAAAUCAUUAUUUUCACUGUCCUAGAUCCAGAAAAGCAAACAAGUGAAAUCUGCUGUAGUAAAUGUUUUUGCCUCUUGUUGUAAAUCCAUUAAUGCUUUCUCUCUGUGUGUAGUUGUAUGAAAUAAACAUUUAUGGCUCAUA